AUUUAGAGCAAGGCUGGUCCUUGCGUGACAGAAAACUGCUCAUUGUUGGCAAAGGAACUCCUUGCCUAUUAGAGACUGGACUUCUGAUGAUGGGAUAUCAAUUAACUAUAUAACCUGAGUCUACAUGAUCCCAUCAGAUCUCCCAAGUCACAAGGUUAGGCAGACCCCCAGCAAUCCGUCGUUUGGUAGAAAUGGCACCUAUGCACAUUGGACCCUGAAAGAUCUGGAGGACACAACGUAAGAGGAAAAGGACCAGAUGAAAUGUCAGUGUCAACAACGGCCAAGUUGUCCCCUUAACAGGAAGACAAUAUGGGUGAUAUCUGGGUUACCCGGACAGUGUAAAAUAAUGAAUCACCAAAACCUCACCUUAAGAUGGGGUUUCACCAUGUUAGCCAGGAUGGUCUUGAUC
This is a non-coding RNA of Macaca mulatta (Rhesus monkey), 409 nucleotides long. The record is from RefSeq and is a predicted model, not a curated record. Lineage: Eukaryota; Metazoa; Chordata; Mammalia; Primates; Cercopithecidae.